GUGCUUGGAUAGCUCAGAUGGUAGAGCACUUGCCCGCAAAAGGCAAAGGCCCCGAGUUCGAGUCUCGGUCCGCACA
RNAcentral lists this transfer RNA (76 nucleotides) under Schistocerca americana (American grasshopper). RNAcentral's name for it is "tRNA-Leu". It matches the Rfam family "tRNA". From Rfam's summary of the family: Transfer RNA (tRNA) molecules are approximately 80 nucleotides in length. Their secondary structure includes four short double-helical elements and three loops (D, anti-codon, and T loops). Lineage: Eukaryota; Metazoa; Arthropoda; Insecta; Orthoptera; Acrididae. RNAcentral also lists the same sequence under 2 other names. The record is from RNAcentral.